Molecule: long non-coding RNA, 412 nt
Filed under: Mus spicilegus (steppe mouse)
Lineage: Eukaryota; Metazoa; Chordata; Mammalia; Rodentia; Muridae
Description: lncRNA (ENSMSIG00000005636.1)
Source: RNAcentral
UCUGGAUCACCAGACACAAGACAUGUGGCCAGACAGAAUUAUAAAACUAGCUGGAGCACAGUCGGGGUUAGUGGCUCUGAACACAGAUGGAACCUUAGUGGGGAUCUCUGCAUGUGGUUUGGCUAUAUGGCUGAGUGGCUUGGGGUGGCUGAGCGAACCGGUGGCGGUGCUGUGCUGGGCGGCUACGGCUCCACAUGCUCCCGACCGCCGGUUGAGACCGUUGGCGGGGUCGACUGAAAGGAUAUCCACAGCUCAAGUGUAGACCAUGCCAAUCUAAAGAACCAAGACCAUCUGCUAGAGCAAAGACCAUGAUAGCUGCCAGAAGUCCAGCCUCAACUCCUAAAAAAGACUUCCUGUUAUACCAGCAGUGUGACACUGGUCACUAGAAAUAAAAACUACAAAGACAAGAACA